Molecule: long non-coding RNA, 1692 nt
Organism: Cryptomeria japonica (Japanese cedar)
Lineage: Eukaryota; Viridiplantae; Streptophyta; Pinopsida; Cupressales; Cupressaceae
Exons: 5
Source: RefSeq, a predicted model, not a curated record
GCUUUUUCAAAUAGAACUUAGCUAAGUUCGAACCAUGUAAGUAAUUGGUAGUUUCUUAAAAACUAGCAUUUCCGUAUUUUCCCUGUAAGUGUAGACUAAGAGUUUGCAGAGAGUGAGAAACUGCAGGUUAAUUUAGAAUAAUUUCUAUCAAUCAAAAAUCGACCUUCUAUUUAUGCUUGAAAAGUCUAAGUGCAUGGAGGAGGAUGAACGGAUUUCGCAGAAGAAUGAUGGGAAGAUGUUUUCCAACUUCAGAUUUUUUAUAUAAGGUUAUGUGAUGGUGUCCCAUCUACGAGGAGCGAACCCUACCAAUCUGUAACUGGUGGUAAUGAAAGCGACUCAAAGCCAAAACCAGACAUGAGAUGGAACGUUUUCUGCAGGCACGGUGGAAGCUUUGGCCUUUUGCACAUUUGAUAACAUAUGGUGUUGUACCUGUGGAACAGAGGAUGCUAUGGGUGGAUUGUGUUGAACUUAUCUGGGUACUCCAAUGAAAAAUCAGAAACUAGAAUUUUCGAAGCAUCUUCUCAAGGAAAGUCUGGCAAUGAAUUCUGUAUCAGAUGUCUCCAAGGAUCAAUGAAGAGACUGGUAUCUAUCUGCAAAUGCUCUUUUUGGCUUGAAGUGACCUUCUCUAUGAUCAUUGCUACAGCAGAUAUUGAAUUUUCAGACCUUAAUAAAAUGUGAAGCACACGGGUUAAUGCUUAUCUCUAAAUAUGAAGAGAACCGAAAGAGUUGAAGAGAGAGAAGAGUAACUGACUGAGACCGUUGGACUUCACAUUGAAUGGUCCAAAUCCUACCCCAAAGCUACCAUUCGGCACAAGCUGUGAGGGUGCUAUCAAAGGUUGUAGAGUCUGGAUUUACACCUGCCAACUGCAUUUGCUUGAAAGUUUCUUCAUUAGGAGAUUGAACGCUCAGAGCCAUGAAAACCCUCAACAAUAUUCCAGGCUGUUGUGAAAACCCUCCCAUUCAAUCUGCUUUUCGUUCACCGUUGGGCCACAUGAACCACCAUCUUGGUGUUGAAAAGAAAAUAUUUCCGAUUUCUUGGAAGGAUUUUUGGGGUUCAUUUUAUUAGAUGCCUUUUUUCUGCUGGGGUUUCGGAGUCUCUUUUUGCUGCUCUCGGCUUCGAUUCUUUGAAGUUUUUGAUUCUUCCAAGUCUUUGUUUAUGAGGUAAAUAUUCAAACGCAAGGAAAGGAUAAUGACAUGCAUUUUCUUGUGGGUUGGGCUGGUUUUAUGCAAAAUGAGGGUUUUUUAAUGACUGUUAAGGGUAACUUCUAAUAAGAAUCCACUAUGGAUUAUUCUUUGAUUGAUGGCCAUACCUUAUGUCACUUUAUCUUAAUGUAGUAUUUAGAGGUAGUAAAUUCUCAAUUUUAUGGCUCUUUUAAUUGAUUCCGUUGUUUCGCCAAGUGGGAUUAGAGUUUCUUGGUAUUGACGUGCAUCUGCCUUAAGGGCUAUUUUGUUUUUUUAAAUGUUUUUGCUGAGAUCAUAUCAACUUAAAACUUAACCAUCUCCACCGUCUCUUUGCAAGAGAAAAAAGAAUGCGCAAUCAUGUAACAAAUAUAUGAAUUGUUGUAUCUUGCUUGCCUUUCUCAUUAUUCAAUUUUCUAUUUGGUCUGUUAUUAUAUACUAUUGUUUUUUUAAUGUUCUUGUUAUUGUGUUUGAGCAAUUCAUUAUUUAUAUUCUCAUUUUGCCGCUUUUGAU